This 613-nucleotide ribosomal RNA is filed under the name Pantoea sp. Its description in RNAcentral is "bacterial SSU rRNA". It matches the Rfam family "Bacterial small subunit ribosomal RNA", at positions 802 to 1415 of the family's 1533-position model. Lineage: Bacteria; Pseudomonadati; Pseudomonadota; Gammaproteobacteria; Enterobacterales; Erwiniaceae. The record is from RNAcentral.
GUAAACGAUGUCGACUUGGAGGUUGUGCCCUUGAGGCGUGGCUUCCGGAGCUAACGCGUUAAGUCGACCGCCUGGGGAGUACGGCCGCAAGGUUAAAACUCAAAUGAAUUGACGGGGGCCCGCACAAGCGGUGGAGCAUGUGGUUUAAUUCGAUGCAACGCGAAGAACCUUACCUGGCCUUGACAUCCAGAGAACUUAGCAGAGAUGCUUUGGUGCCUUCGGGAACUCUGAGACAGGUGCUGCAUGGCUGUCGUCAGCUCGUGUUGUGAAAUGUUGGGUUAAGUCCCGCAACGAGCGCAACCCUUAUCCUUUGUUGCCAGCGGCUCGGCCGGGAACUCAAAGGAGACUGCCGGUGAUAAACCGGAGGAAGGUGGGGAUGACGUCAAGUCAUCAUGGCCCUUACGGCCAGGGCUACACACGUGCUACAAUGGCGCAUACAAAGAGAAGCGACCUCGCGAGAGCAAGCGGACCUCAUAAAGUGCGUCGUAGUCCGGAUUGGAGUCUGCAACUCGACUCCAUGAAGUCGGAAUCGCUAGUAAUCGUAGAUCAGAAUGCUACGGUGAAUACGUUCCCGGGCCUUGUACACACCGCCCGUCACACCAUGGGAGUGGGU